GUCUCCGACGUAUCGAUAAUUUCUUAUGUUCCAUGCCACAUUAUUGAUGAUAUCUACAUGUUUUAUACACAUUAUAUGUCAUAUUUAUGCGUUUUCCGGAACUAACCUAUUGACGAGAUGCCGAAGUGCCAGUUCCUGUUUUCUGCUGUUUUUGGUUUCAGAAAUCCUAGUAAGGAAAUAUUCUCGGAAUUGGACGAAAUCAACGCCCAGGGGCCUAUUUUUACACGAAGCUUCCAGAAGACCGGAGGACUUACGAAGUGGGGCCACGAGGUGGCCAGACACCAGGGCGGCGCGGCCUGGGCCUUGGCCGCGCCGGCCUGUCGUGUGGGGCCCUCGUGUGGCCCCCUGACCUGCCCUUCCGCCUACUUAAGGUCUCCGUCGCGAAAACCCUACCACGUUCGACGAAACCAGAGAAAACCUUCCAGAGCCGCCGCCAUCGCGAAGCCAAGAUCUGGGGGACAGGAGUCUCUGUUCCGGCACGCCGCCGGGACGGGGAAGUGCCCCCGGAAGGCUUCUCCAUCGACACCACCGCCAUCUUCAUCAACGCUGCUGUCUCCCAUGAGGAGGGAGUAGUUCUCCAUCGAGGUUCGGGGCUGUACCGGUAGCUAUGUGGUUCAUCUCUCUCCUAUGUACUUCAAUACAAUAAUCUCAUGAGCUGCCUUACAUGAUUGAGAUUCAUAUGAUGAUGCUUGUAAUCUAGAUGUCAUUAUGCUAGUCAAGUGGGUUUUACUUA
Molecule: non-coding RNA, 733 nt
Organism: Lolium perenne
Lineage: Eukaryota; Viridiplantae; Streptophyta; Magnoliopsida; Poales; Poaceae
Source: RefSeq, a predicted model, not a curated record